GUUUUGGGAAGGAGCUCCCAGCUGAGGCACCUAAACCAGGCUGCUCUGACCCCCAUGUCUCCCCCAGCUGCUCCUGCAAGUCAGUUAUGGGCCAGGAGGAUUUUUUUCAAGGUAGCUGUAGCCUAAGAAAAAAAAAAAAAUCCUUUUUCCUCUCAAUUCCUCAGCUUUCAGCCACUGGUGGCGCCAUAAAUUCCCCUGGCUCUCUGGUUACUGUAAAGUCUUUCAGGGUGGUCAGGACCUGAAUUCCUCAUGUGGAAGGAAGAACAAGCAGGCAAAAAGGAAGCACUGCAAGCAGGGACCUUCCCCGCCUCCUCGGUCCCUCUUGCUUUGUGCUCCCUCAGCUUGAGCCACCUGGAUAACCACCUGCACGGCCACCCCCCAGUGAACACCCUCCCACCAAGCCACACUCCCCGCGGGGGCUCCAGUACUGAUCCUCCGUGAGACAGCCCCAGCUCCCACCAGAUUCCAUCCUGGAGCCUAAACCCAGCUGCUGCGUGGGACACGAGUGGGCUGCUGUGUGGCACGUGUCAUCCAGCUUCACCUGAGGGCCGUGCUGAGAUGCUCUGAGAAGAGCAGCAGGAAAAUGACCACGAAGGGUCACUGCAGGAGAAGGUGCUUGCUGACAGGGUUGCUCCACCACUGAGCAGGACAAGGAAGGGUCUUCCUGCAGAGAAAGCCAUGGAAAAUCCCCUUGCUGGGCAGGGAAACCCUCUGCGGAAGUGGAAACGGAGCAUUUGCGCUUGGAAAAUCACAAAGGAGCGAGGGAAGCUUGCACGGGCAAGACAUUUCCCAGAAGUGUGCUGCCGGCAGGUACAGCUCACCAGAGACAGGGGGUGAGAGCAGCAGCGAUCCCCCCGCUGCAGGCAGAGCACCGCCCGCCCUGCUGCCUGUCCCCGUCCCAGGAGCAGAGCUGGAAACCCACACGAGAAAAAACACCGGGGACUUUUGGUGGGGCAGCGCAGGGUCCCCGGGCUGCAAGUGACGUUCCCAACAGAUCCCGUGGGGCUGGGACUGAGGACACGGCUCCUGUGCACGUCCCCUGCCCUCCGCAGCAGAGCAAGUCCCAGCACCCCGUUAACCCUUUGUCCCACCCAGUGCCACGGGACAGCCCCGAGUGGUGCCAUAUGGGCAGGGGGAUGCGGGCUGGCACGUGUAAACAGGGGCUGGGCUGGGCGCGUUUAUGGCACGCUGGAUUGCAGCAUUAUGGAGAUGGUUUGGGAGCGUUCCCGUAGAAAGCCAGCCCUUUAAGGGAUUGUGAAACUUAGCCAUAAAAUAGGAUAUUUGGGGCUGAUCUG
This 1295-nucleotide long non-coding RNA is filed under the name Anas platyrhynchos platyrhynchos (common mallard). RNAcentral describes it as "lncRNA (ENSAPLG00000026612.1)". The record is from RNAcentral. Lineage: Eukaryota; Metazoa; Chordata; Aves; Anseriformes; Anatidae.